GUCUAGGGUUAUACCAUGCUGAAUGUGCCCAAUCUCAUCUGAUCUUGGAAGCUAAACAGGAUUGGGCCUGGUUAGUACUUGGAUGGGUGAUCACUUGAAGUUACAAAGAUAGAAGAUA
This 118-nucleotide ribosomal RNA is filed under the name Prolemur simus (greater bamboo lemur). The record is from RNAcentral. Lineage: Eukaryota; Metazoa; Chordata; Mammalia; Primates; Lemuridae.